AAAAUUUAGUUGAAACUUUAUUUAAAGUCUUUGGGGUUAAUUAUUUAGUUGGUUGCCCCAAUCAUAUCUUAACAAUUUAUUUUAUAACAAGUCUUUAAAAUCAUUUAAUUAAAUUUAAAAAACAACUUUUGACAACGGAUCUCUUGGCUCUCGCAACGAUGAAGAACGCAGCGAAAUGCGAUAAGUAAUGUGAAUUGCAGAAUUCCGUGAAUCAUCAAAUCUUUGAACGCACAUUGCGCUUCCUGGUAUUCCGGGAAGCAUAUCUGUUUGAGAAUCAGUAUUAAUAUCAAUUAAUCUUCUUUUUCAUUAAAGAGUUUUAGUUGGAUUUGAGGAUUUACUCUUUAAACAGUAACCCUUUAAUUAAAUUAAAAGUUUUUUACCAAAUGGUUAACAAAAACUAAAGCAUGACCAAUUCUGUCUCUUUAUUGAGACUUUUUUGAUUAUUGCCCAAGGUCAAGUUGACAGAAUUUUGUGUAGGAAAGUUUCAAACUUAAUACGAGAGUAAAAUUUCACAACUUUACUUUUAAGACUCGAUCUCAAAUCAGAUAAGACUACCCGCUGAACUUAA
This 568-nucleotide ribosomal RNA is filed under the name uncultured fungus. RNAcentral describes it as "eukaryotic LSU rRNA". The stretch from base 124 to 277 matches the Rfam family "5.8S ribosomal RNA". The record is from RNAcentral. Lineage: Eukaryota; Fungi.